This is a long non-coding RNA of Mirounga angustirostris (Northern elephant seal), 767 nucleotides long. RefSeq lists it as uncharacterized. The transcript has 3 exons. The record is from RefSeq and is a predicted model, not a curated record. Lineage: Eukaryota; Metazoa; Chordata; Mammalia; Carnivora; Phocidae.
AAUACCUGUGUUGAAACUGAAUUCAUAUUGCCAUACUCCUUACUAAUGCAAAAAUACAGUGAAUUCCUCUUCACAAAGACUACAACAGUUUAUUGACAGCAUCACAAGGAAAGUGGCUUGCUAUGUAUUCUGGGAUAAAGCUAUUGGAGCCUACCAACAUUCUUUUAUUCAUGGCCCAUUCCUGAAUCUACAAAGCCAGCAAUACUGCUGGUGCUAUUAUGGGUUGUCCGGACCAGGGGCAGCAAACUGCAUGGAGCCGCUGAUGCAGACUGUUUUGAAACUGACAUCUCAUCUCUUAAUCUGAGGGGAAAUAGACCCAAUCCUUGCGACACACUCAUGAAACCAGAGGAAGACUCAAGACUCUCCUUUGAACUCCAUGUUCUAUCUUGAACGGUGCCAGGGACUACAAUCAAAGACCUAAAUGGAUUUGAUAAGUUCCACAGACUUCUACAAGGACUCCUGAAUUGUGACACUGGUAAAUAAUUCUCUGUUCUGCACCAGUUCUAAAUCAGCUAAAGGUGCAGACUGAGAGAAGAAACUACAUGAAAUAAAAACCAGGGGUAGGGUUGCCAAAUUUAGCAAACAAAAAUAUAGAACAGCCAAUUAAUUUUGAAAUUCAAAUGAACAAUAACAUAUUUUUUAGUAUAAUUAUAUCCAAAUAUUGCAGGAGAUACACUUAUACUAAAAUUUUUCAUUGUUUACCCAAAAUUCAAAUUUCACUAGGAGUCCUAUAAUUUCCCUGAAAACUGGCCAGGCAUACAUCUUGA